This 419-nucleotide ribosomal RNA is filed under the name uncultured bacterium. Its description in RNAcentral is "bacterial SSU rRNA". It matches the Rfam family "Bacterial small subunit ribosomal RNA", at positions 355 to 786 of the family's 1533-position model. The record is from RNAcentral.
UGGGGAAUAUUGCACAAUGGGGGAAAGACCCUGAUGCAGCAACGCCGCGUGAAGGAAGACGGUUUUCGGAUUGUAAACUUCUUUUCUUAGUGAAGAAGCAAGUGACGGUAGCUAAGGAAUAAGCAUCGGCUAACUACGUGCCAGCAGCCGCGGUAAUACGUAGGAUGCGAGCGUUAUCCGGAAUUACUGGGUGUAAAGGGAGCGCAGGCGGGACUGCAAGUUGGAUGUGAAAUACCGCAGCUUAACUGCGGAGCUGCAUCCAAAACUGUAGUUCUUGAGUGGAGUAGAGGCAAGCGGAAUUCCGAGUGUAGCGGUGAAAUGCGUAGAUAUUCGGAGGAACACCAGUGGCGAAGGCGGCUUGCUGGGCUCUAACUGACGCUGAGGCUCGAAAGUGUGGGGAGCAAACAGGAUUAGAUACC